CAUUCAGGGAGGAAAUAGCUUUAAAAUAUGUCAAAGCCUAAAACAGAAUAUAAUCAUGGAAUAAAUUGGAGACCCCAGACAGUCCCCACAAAAUUUCCUUCAGGCUGUAAAUAGAUCUCUUAAAACUCACCCCAAAACAUGCCGGCUCAGUUGUUUGACGCUUGCAUAACUAACAUCUUAGGCAAAAGCCUCUGAACUUAGCUGAAAUGCAGAAAACAGACAAGUGCAAUGACAUGUUUAGGGGUAACUGUGUUGAAGCCGUGAGAUGUGUGUGAGGAGUGUGUGUGUGUGCACGUGUGACAGACACACACGCGCAUACAUGUAUAUGAAGGCCGCUGUUGUUUUCCAUGCUUCAUGGAGAGUGCAGCAGUGAGAGUCUGUGAUUUUCUAACACUUUCUGCAGUGAAUCCAAAGAUCACAGGCCCCACGAGGCACCUGCAUCCUGUGGCUUUUCUAUAACUUCCUGAAUUAUUUGACUAUGUUCAAACCUUCUUUUCUUUUUCAUCAGGAUUUCAUUUUUUUAAGUUUGUCAAGUGUUUUUGCCUUUAAAAAGACAUUAAAUGUGCCCUUUUCCACAUUAUUUUCUCAUCUCUGCAACAAGAAAUGGUAGUGUAUAGACAAAUGCUAAAAUAAUAACAAUAAUAAGGAAAUGUAUUAAAGGUUUAAACCUACACACGCAUACACAUAUGUAGUUCUACCGAGCAAUAAAAGUAGUAUCUAUUUUGAACGUGCAUUAAGCACCAAAAAAAAAAAAAUCAAAGCUGAACUUUCGGUUUAUUUUGUUCCCUCUGUGAGAUGUUAAAAUGCUAAUUUCAUUUUCUCCCUUCUUCUAUGUGGCAUUUUUCUCAAAAUAUCUAUGAAAUACUUUUAGACAAAGAUUGAGCUGGAGAAAGAGAUACAAAUUUCCAUCCCCCCAGACAUAGAGAUGUGCUUCCAUUGUAGGAAAGCAUUAAACAUUUUGAAACUUGUGAAUCAUCUUUAGAAUUUCAACAGCGGAAUUUUACCUCUUCAUCCAAAGUAAAAGCCACUUAUCUCCUUUGGUUUCCUGUGACAGAUUCAGAGGCAGACGCAGAUAUACAAUUUCCAGGCUCUAGUUAAUCUUCUUCCAAUAGUUACGAACAAUGGGCUAACGGGCGUGGGUGUUUCUCCAAAAAUUAUUCAUGCGCAAGGCAGCCCAAAGCUUCAGGGAAAACUAGAAAUGUUUUAUGGAUUAGAAUAGGCCUGUUUUAAAAUGCUAGUACCAGGUGGAACGCUAUUUCUGCAACAGGACUCUGUCCAUUUCCUUUGGAAAAAUAUAUUCCAAGUAAAAUGGCUAUUCCAAGGAGUGACACCCUGGCUUGACAGCGUUUGGCACACAAAUGAUCUUACCAAUAGCCAUACAAUUAUCAUUAAGGCCUUUUACCAUACAGUCUGUUUAGAAAAGACAGAUCAAAUGCUAACAGCCCGUUGUAUCAUGUUUAUUUGCUUAAAACAGCUUUUGAAAGUACGAGUAAUAACUCUUUCGUGAGAACCCCCCAGGAGAAGUUGGAAAUUUUGAAGAAAUGCAUUGCUUAAAAAAAAAAAAAAUCUAAGCACUCCCUUCAACCCUUUCAGAAAAUAAAUUUAAGUGUGCUCGCUGAAUUAUCUUGAACCUGAACCCUACACUUGGACAUCAGUCCCCAGGCAAUGGCUAAUAUUUACAGAAAGAACAAUCAUGCGAUUAUGUCGCAAGUGAAGACUGUGCCUGGUUAUAUUUUCACUUUCUAAAUGACUCAUAUAACAUUCAGAGAUUAUAAAUGUGUAUGCAUUUUUUAAGUACACAAAAUCCCACCAGUCUGCAAAGAAAAAGUAAAACCUACACCUGUUCUGCAUUGAGAUAAAUACUACAGAAACAUUCCAGUCCUGCAAUACAAUAUUUUGGCUUCACAACACGUCAGAUAUUAAAAGCAUGCAACACAAGUCAAAAACAAUGACCAAAAAAAAAAAUUGUAUUUGGAUCAGAGUUUUGAAAGGUCAUAACAUCCUGGGUUACAAUAUACUUUUUGGUCUCUGACGCUAUCCUUCUAAUCCCUUCUAACUUUGAUUCCAAACAGCCAAGCACUGUCAGGGAGUCAUAAACUUCCAAGCCCCUUUUAAAUCAGGAACACAGCCAAUCAGAAACAAUCUUUAUCUGGGCAGCCAGUUCCUGCUCUGCAAGGCUUUUGUAACAUUUUAGGAAAUCUGGCAUCAAACCCAUUACAUUAUAUAUUUGCCCCCUUGCAUGAAGUCUAGAUUUUGAGUUGUUUCUUUUCAAAAGGGUAGUGGAGAAAAUGGGUCAGAGUGAGCUUCAAGAAUCACAUUCAUCCUUGCUCUGAAGGAAAGUGUUUACUUGCCAGAGAAGAAAGGCAAACACAUUUUUGUAUUAGGAAAGCAGACCAGUCGUUUUCAAAGGAAAAUGGCUGCGACCAUACUUGUACAAUGAACAUGUCCGUGCAAGCGCACUAAUUUUCUACCACCUGCAUGCUGUAUAUAAUACACGCCUGUAUACUAGGAAGGAAAAUCGGGCUGUUUUCCCUGUGUACCAUGCAGCUUGGAUGGCUGGGAAAGUAAGCCUGCGUGCAUUUUUAUACUGUACAUAUUUGUAUAUACUAACGAUAUCGCCAUGUAUGAACACAGAUUUUGUUCUAUCUGCUUGUUUCUGUUUCUUACCAAACUGGUCCACAAUGGGAUUCUUUUGUAUCGAAAAAAUAUGCUUGUGAUUUUUUUUUCCUGAUCAUUCUCUUUCGAUAGCUUAUGAAAGAAUUAGAUCUGCGUUUACAAAGAAAUGAUAAGAACCAUGUAUGUCCGUCUGCAUGAGUCCUGUCCAAUUGCUGGAUCUAGGGAGGAACCAACGUCCUAAUUCAGAGUUUUCCUUUCAAGGCAUGCUUUACCCCGUGGGAAAACUGCAAACUCAUCCAUGUAGAAUUUUCCUCUUUGUAUUUUAUCUAAUAGUGCCUGAAAAUUUUUUUAAUGUCUUCUUAGAGGAAGAAUUCAUAAUUGUCAAAAUUUGAAACAUUAGCUUAAUUUUGUUUUUAUGACCUCGAGAUUCUUCUCCUUAUUUAUUCGGUUGCUGUUGUAAUGGGGCCCCAGGCCAUUCCUGACAUCGAUGUGUUCUUCUUCUGCAUUAAGGAUGUUUUUAAAAUUACAGAGAUUAUUGAGCCAAUAGGCUGUUUUAAUCAAAACCAUGUUUCACUUGUUUUUGAUGAUUAUAAAUUGUCCUUGCAAUGAGAAAGAAAAAAAAAAAAAAAACUUUUCUGCUAGGAAGAUUAUACCACCCUGUGGCCAAACAGAUUCAUCACAGAUGGGUGUCUAUGCCCACUUCUCCGGGAUCUGGAACAUUCUUCCCCUGGCUGGCCACAGUUUCUUGCACUCCCCAUCAUCCUGUCAUUAGUUCUCAACGCAGUCACUGUUUGCAAAUUUCCAAAGGCCUUUUGCCAUCUUGUCACUGCCCAAAGACAACAACCCUGCUGGAAGUGGUGUCUUUCCAACCUCAAAGAACGCAGGGAGUUUUAGAAAAGGGGAUCCUUCUUUCAUCCCAGAGUGCCUCCAGCUUGUCAUCCCUCCUAAUUAGAUACAAUUUGGUCUUAAUAUCCCAUAUAACCUCAAUCAGAUCAAAAGCAACACUGGGACCCCCGCCCCUUGCUGAAUAAAAAACGAGUCUGAGAGCACUUAACGGUGUGAGCUUGUGCGAGAUACUGCAGCCCCAGAAUCGUCUGUAGCAGGAGAGGGAUUCUCAUACAGUUUUAUCACUAGGAAUAAAUUCUGAUGGUGGAGAUGGAGAAAACCCUUAAAUUAUAUCACAAAAGCCAUUAUUUUUUACACCUAAAGAGUUUUUUUUUUUAAGGAAAAUCAUUCUACUUUGAGAACUGUAAUUAAAGCCCUAAAUAAUAGAUGCUACUUCUUUUAGCUAUUGUGAAAAAAUAACAAUACACUCUCCAAGGUUGUAUGGACCCCCUCAUUUCCAUCAGAAAGGUUUCUAUAUUAUAUUUUUAAACAUGAUAACUCUUUCCUUUGUGGUGAAAAAAAAAAGUGUUGUUGUGUUUUUGUUUUGGUUUUGUUUUUGUUUUUGUUUUUUUUUCCAUUCAGCAGUUAUUGGAAAUAGACUGUUCCCAUCUGAAACCUUAUUAUAAUUUGCACCAGGAAACCCAACUGCCGACACUGAGGAGCUGGGUGUGUUCAAUUAUGACUUUGCUGGAGGCUGUCCCUCGUUGGAUGCUGCAGAUGUUGAACACCUUUCUGAAACCCAGCGGAUCUGACACCGCUGAGACGCCCCUCCACACCAUUAGCUUGGCGAACGGCUUCCUUCCCAUCAAUAGCGACUUCCGCUUUGGCCCUUCGAAGAAAAGGAAAAUUAAAGGAGAGAAGGAAAAAACAAAAAAACAAAACAGAUGCACUUAAAACAUGAAAAGAAUUAUUUAUAUGAUAAAAAUAUAUUUAGAUUUUCAAAGCACAAGACUGAAUAGAAGUGCUCUUUUUAAGCUUUCUGGAGAUGUUACUGUUAAAUGUCUUUCUACAUCAGGCUUAAUAAAUCUGUAAUGAC
Molecule: long non-coding RNA, 4537 nt
Filed under: Marmota monax (woodchuck)
Lineage: Eukaryota; Metazoa; Chordata; Mammalia; Rodentia; Sciuridae
Source: RNAcentral